Molecule: ribosomal RNA, 801 nt
Filed under: Farysia taiwaniana
Lineage: Eukaryota; Fungi; Basidiomycota; Ustilaginomycetes; Ustilaginales; Ustilaginaceae
Description: LSU rRNA
Rfam family: Eukaryotic large subunit ribosomal RNA
Source: RNAcentral
AGUGAAGAGGGAAGAGCCCAAGAUUGAAAGCUGGCGUCUUCGGCGUCCGCAUUGUAAUCUCAAGAAGCMUUUUCCGCUUCGGACCAAGCCUAAGUCCCUUGGAAAAGGGCAUCGUAGAGGGUGAGAAUCCCGUACAUGGCUUGGAGCGCCCGAGGCUUUGUGAUAUGCAUUCUAAGAGUCGAGUUGUUUGGGAAUGCAGCUCAAAAUGGGUGGUAAAUGCCAUCUAAGGCUAAAUAUUGGGGAGAGACCGAUAGCGAACAAGUACCGUGAGGGAAAGAUGAAAAGAACUUUGAAAAGAGAGUUAAACAGUACGUGAAAUUGCCAAAAGGGAAGGGUAGGAGGUCAGAGAUGCGGCGUGGGAUUCAGCCUUGCUUUUGCUUGGUGUUUUUCCCUCAUUGCAGGCCAACGUCGGUUUUGGGCACUGGAGAAUGGUGAGAGGAAUGUGGCACCCUUCGGGGUGUGUUAUAGCCUCUCACUGGAUACAGCGACCGGGACCGAGGAACGCAGCGUACUCGAAAGAGCGGGCCUUCGGGCACCUUUACGCUUAGGGCGUUGGCAUAAUGGCCCUCUACCACCCGUCUUGAAACACGGACCAAGGAGUCUAACAUGUAUGCGAGUCUUUGGGUGGCAAACCCACAGGCGCAAUGAAAGUGAAUUCAGAUGGGAUCCGCAAGGUGCACCAUCGRCCGAUCCUCACGUCUUUUAAGUCGUGGAUUUGAGUAAGAGCAUACCUGUUGGGACCCGAAAGAUGGUGAACUAUGCCUGAAUAGGGCGAAGCCAGAGGAAACUCUGGUGGAGGCU